AGUGAACGCUGGCGGCAGGCCUAACACAUGCAAGUCGAGCGGCAGCGGGUUCCCGCGAGGGGAUGCCGGCGAGCGGCGGACGGGUGAGGAACACAUCGGAAUCUGCCUGGUUGUGGGGGAUAACGUAGGGAAACUUACGCUAAUACCGCAUGAGACCCUGAGUCGACGGACUGGGGGUGAAAGUGAGGGACCUUCGGGCCUCACGCGACCAGAUGAGCCGAUGUCGGAUUAGCUAGUUGGCGGGGUAACGGCCCGCCAAGGCGACGAUCCGUAGCUGGUCUGAGAGGAUGAUCAGCCACACUGGGACUGAGACACGGCCCAGACUCCUACGGGAGGCAGCAGUGGGGAAUCUUGGACAAUGGGCGCAAGCCUGAUCCAGCCAUGCCGCGU
This 390-nucleotide ribosomal RNA is filed under the name uncultured bacterium. Its description in RNAcentral is "bacterial SSU rRNA". It matches the Rfam family "Bacterial small subunit ribosomal RNA", at positions 30 to 402 of the family's 1533-position model. The record is from RNAcentral.